Molecule: long non-coding RNA, 2062 nt
Organism: Mauremys mutica (yellowpond turtle)
Lineage: Eukaryota; Metazoa; Chordata; Testudines; Geoemydidae
Exons: 3
Source: RefSeq, a predicted model, not a curated record
UGACGGGCAGAUAAAUGUUCUGGCCCAUAUGAAACUGGGAGACCACCGUCAGCAGGAAGGCUGGAAGUAGAUGCAGUCUGACCUUGUCCUUGUAAAAGACCACAUAGGGUGGUUCCAAGGUAAGUGCCCAAAUCUCAGAGACCCUACGGGCUGAAGUUAUUGUGACCUUCCAAGAAAGGAGGAGAAGAGAACAUGGCACCAGAGGCUCAAAGGGGAGCCAUGAGCCAGGAUAACACGAGAUUUAGGUCCCACAGAGGAACUGGGUCCCUGACAUGUGGAUAAAGGUGCUUGAGGCCUUUGAGGAACCUGGCAGUCAUGUCAUGGGCGAAAACUAAUCCGUCCUUGAACGGCAGAUGGAAAGCUGAAAUAGCAGCCAGAUGGACAACAGACAGAGGCCUUGGAGUUUGAGAUGCAGAAGGUAGUCCAGGAUUAACUGCAGCGAAGCCAGCUCGGGACGAAUGCCUUUGAGGACCAGUACAUAAACUGCCUGCACUUGGCCAUGUAGAUUGUUUUAGUGGAGGGCUUUCUGCUGCCCAGCAAGACGUGCUGGACUCUGGCUGAGCACUCUUGCUCCUCCACAUUUAGCCAUGCAGCAGCCAAGACACCAGGUGCAAUGCUGCCAGGUUCUGGUGCAGGAAGGCACCGUGAGUUUUGUGACAGCAAAACCAGCCAGAGUGGUAGCUGUAAUGGAGCAGCCACAGAGAGAUCCAGCAGCAUGCCAAACCAGUGCUGGCGCAGUCAAGCCGGCACUACGAAGAUCAUCUUUGCCCUGUUCUGCUUGAUAUUCAUGAGGACUCUGUGGAUCAACAGAACUGGGGGAAAGAUAAUUAAAGCCCCUGACCAUGGGAGCAGAAAAGUGUACGAUAGAGCCUCUGUCAGACCCCUGAAAUGAGCAGGGAACGUGGCACUUCCUGUUGUGCCUGGAUGAAAACAGCUCCACCUGGGGAGUUCCCCACCUGUGGCAGAUGAUGCUGACCACCUCCGGAUGGAGAGACCACGCAUGGCGAGACCAGAUGAUCCCGCUGAGGUGAUCUGCCAAGGUGUUCCUGGCCCUGGGGAGGUGUGCGGCUAUGAGAUGGAUGUCAUGUUGUACACAGAAGUCCCAUAGCCUGAGGCCUUCUUGGCAAAGGGCAGACGACCUGGCCCAGCCUUGCUUGUUGAUAUAGAACACAGCCGCUGCACUGUCUAUCAGGGCCUGGACCACCUUGCUUUUUAGGUGAGGUAGGAAGGCAUGGCAGGCGAAGUGGACCAUUCUGAGCUCCCUGACAUUGAUGUGUAGUGAACACUCGAGGUGGGACCAACAACCUUGCAUGCUGAGAUUGCCCAGGUGGGCUCCCCAUCCCAGGUCUGAAGCAUCAAAGAUGAGGGUAACAUGAAUGGAACUCCCCCUAACACCGAUGCAGGAUUUUGCCACCAUGCAAGUGACGACAGGAUGUGGUCCGGGACCUUGACUACACGGUCCAUGUUGUGUCUGUUGGGGAUGUAGACCAAUGCCAGCCAUGCCUGCAGCCCCCUGAGGUGGAGUCACCCAUGCUGAACCAUCCCCAGGUCAUGACAGGUGGAGAAAACCAGGUCGAGAUGACGCCGUACCUGAUCCCAGGAUCGAUCUUUUAUUAACCAGUUGUGAGGUACGGGUAAAUCUGCAUGCCUUUGCGCCUCAGAAGCAGGACAGAGGGACACUCCACAACCUUGACGGCGGCAGAGGAGGCAGCGGCUGGAAUGGCUUUCUAGCCUCUUGAAGGGUGUGCAGGCCCAAAGACUGGAGGAUGGCAUGGAAGUCUUUAAAGCUGUGGAGCCAUGCAUCGGUCAGCUAUGAGAAGAGCCCUGCUCUCUCAAACGGGAGAUCCUGAAGGGUAGUCUGCAUCUCCUGGGACAGCCUGGAGGACAGUAACCAGGAGCUGCGCUUCAUGACCACCGCAGAGGCGACCACCCUGGCCAACAAGUUUGUAGUGUCCUGGGACAUCUGGAGGGCGCCUCUCACCACUCCUUUGCCCUUAUCCAUGAAGGUGGCAAACGCCUGGCCUUGGUUCUGUGGUCCUCCAUGAGCUUGCUGAUAGAGUUC